CCCCAGGGGCUGCAGGGGUCAGCUGUGGUCACCUGGCUGCUCGUCUCUAUGGAUCUCUGACUGGCACUGGCCUGGGUCAGUCUUCACUGAAUCAUUGAAGGGUUUGGGUUGGAAGAGACCUCAAAGAUCACCUAGUCCCCUUGCCAUGUGCAGAGACACCUUCCACUAGAUCAGGAUCCUUCCUUGGGGUAUCUACUUUCUCUAUGGGUUUCUCCCAGUCUCUGUCAACCUCUCUCAACCCAGUAAGGCUUUGUCAGAACCCACAGGACUGGAGGGACCUUUAAAAAUGCUGUGAUUGCCCUGAACUUGUAUCCUAGGCUUUGGGAGGAAGGAAAGGAUCACUUUCUGCAUUAAGAGCUGGGUGGAAUUCCCUGGAUUUGGAACUGAUGGUCAGGGGACACAGUUCUACUUCAGCAACUGGUGGCUUGACAAACAGAAUCUGGACAAUCU
RNAcentral lists this long non-coding RNA (450 nucleotides) under Zonotrichia albicollis (white-throated sparrow). Its description in RNAcentral is "lncRNA (ENSZALG00000011556.1)". Lineage: Eukaryota; Metazoa; Chordata; Aves; Passeriformes; Passerellidae. The record is from RNAcentral.